UUCUAGAAGAAGACCUGGUCUCUACCCUCCGUGGAAGGACAGGUGGUCACUUUAUCCCACUGCCCAUCAGUAUUAGCUUUCAAGUAUUAUGCAAGAGCAUUUGCUCCCUCACAACCACCAGGCUAGGCAACCCAUCCCAGGCCAGACAAAUCCAUCCCAGGUUUGCCAGAAUUCUUUAGUACAUCUAACUUAGAUCUGUACGGCAAAUGCAAAUGCUCCGGUAGGUUCCCCCCCCCACCCCCCCCACCCCAAUCACUGUACACUGGUCUUUGCAUGGGGCUUUUAACCCUGUGUGGAAAGCACUUUGGGGUUACUUGUUAACGGUCUUCUGUGUGGGCCCGAUACACGUAACAAUUGCUGGUUGCAUUCAGGUUUCGCUUCCUAGACAGAAAAGACAAACCCCACUCCCUUGCUAGCACUGAGUGGCACAUUCUGCUUCAUCUCUUAUUCACGGCUCCCAAAAUCACGACCCCUGCAGUCAGAAUUGUAGCUAUAAUCAUGACUUUUGUGUCCUCCGCUUUCUCCACGAGGUGGCGAUUUUCCAGGUUCUGUCAGUCGCUGCUUGCAGAUGCAACGUUUCUCGUUUCUGUCACAUUAAAUGGCCCAGUCAUUCUUUCCCACCCUUCCUUUCUCUUGAUCCCAUUCUCUUCCACCCUUCAUUUCACUUGACCCUUUCUCUUCCACCAUUCAU
This is a long non-coding RNA of Sphaerodactylus townsendi, 691 nucleotides long. RefSeq lists it as uncharacterized. The record is from RefSeq and is a predicted model, not a curated record. The transcript is spliced from 3 exons. Lineage: Eukaryota; Metazoa; Chordata; Lepidosauria; Squamata; Sphaerodactylidae.